AUUGAACGCUGGCGGCAUGCCUUACACAUGCAAGUCGAACGGCAGCACGGGUGCUUGCACCUGGUGGCGAGUGGCGAACGGGUGAGUAAUACAUCGGAACAUGUCCUGUAGUGGUGGAUAGCCCGGCGAAAGCCGGAUUAAUACCGCAUACGAUCUACGUGUGAAAGCGUGGGACCUGCGAGCCUCGCGCUGUAGGGUUGGCCGAUGGCUGAUUAGCUAGUUGGGGGGGUAAAGGCCUACCAAGGCGACGAUCAGUAGCUGGUCUGAGAGGACGACCAGCCACCUUGGAACUGAGCCACGGCCAAGACUCCUACGGGAGGCAGCAGUGGGGAAUGUUGGACAAUGGGCGAAAGCCUGAUACAGCAAUGCCGCGUGUGUGAAGAAGGCCUUCGGGUUGUAAAGCACUUUUGUCCGGAAAGAAAUCCUUGGCCCUAAUACGGUCGGGGGAUGACGGUACCGGAAGAAUAAGCACCGGCUAACUACGUG
Molecule: ribosomal RNA, 486 nt
Filed under: uncultured bacterium
Lineage: Bacteria
Description: partial 16S ribosomal RNA
Rfam family: Bacterial small subunit ribosomal RNA
Source: RNAcentral